AUACGGAGGGUGCGAGCGUUGUUCGGAAUUAUUGGGCGUAAAGCGCGAGUAGGCGGUUUGCCAAGUCACGUGUGAAAGCUUCCGGCUCAACCGGAAAAGUGCGCGUGAAACUGGUAGACUUGAGUCCUGGAGAGGGUGGCGGAAUUCCCGGUGUAGAGGUGAAAUUCGUAGAUAUCGGGAGGAACACCAGAGGCGAAGGCGGCCACCUGGAAAGUGACUGACGCUGAGAAGCGAAAGCGUGGGGAGCAAACAGGAUUAGAAACCCUAGUAGUCC
RNAcentral lists this ribosomal RNA (274 nucleotides) under uncultured bacterium. RNAcentral's name for it is "partial 16S ribosomal RNA". It matches the Rfam family "Bacterial small subunit ribosomal RNA", at positions 523 to 796 of the family's 1533-position model. The record is from RNAcentral.